CACAAGCAUUCCAUUUGGUUUCUACUCGAUAGAACCAAUUUUGACUUUGUGCCUGUGGUAUCGUAAAAAUGUAGGAAAACAAAAAUGUGUUGGCUGCUGAAUCGAGGCAAAGUUUGUAUGUUUGCAUGUGUUUAUUUCAGGAAAUGGCUUCCUGAAAUCCCUCAAGCAGCUGAUUGGUCGACUCCAUGGCUAAUUGGAGAGCUGACCCCGCCCCCUCGUCAAGACGCAGCUGUGUCCAAUUACCCAUUCCUUCAGAAGCUAUAUAAAAGCCAGUGUUCUGUACAGGUUUUUUGCUGGGAGGUUAUUUGAGAGAUUUUGCUAGAGAUUUUCUGUGAGGUCAUUGCAGAGAUUUAGCUUGAGAGAUUUUGCUAGAGAUUUUGCUGGGAGUUCAUUGCUGAGAGUUGAUAUAUUUUGUGAGUUUGUUGCUCAGCUAGAGCUUAUUUGAUGUCCUUUGUUUCUUAGUUUGUGAAAUAGUUUAAUAUUCUGUUUCAUUUGUUCCCAGGGGGAGAAGGGGAAGGCACCUAGGGAGUGCUUAGGCAAGAGGCCCGCGGGCAUACAUAUACCCGUAUCAUAUUCGCUGUCUAGGCACACUAGGUAAGACCUGGGCGGACCACCCCCUGUAUUUUGGUUAGGGCACCAGGUGGUGCUAAAUUAGGUAAGUAGUGGGUAGGCAGGUAAGAUAGGAGAUGGGGGGGCUUUGAGAUUUACUUUCUUUGCUUUGGUUCCGUCCAGCCCCUUUUCCCCAUAUUACCGUGUAAAGGAAUAAAGUCCUUGUAAACGGUA
Long non-coding RNA from Oncorhynchus keta (chum salmon), 783 nucleotides. RefSeq lists it as uncharacterized. The transcript is spliced from 2 exons. The record is from RefSeq and is a predicted model, not a curated record. NCBI's taxonomy places the organism in Eukaryota, Metazoa, Chordata, Actinopteri, Salmoniformes, Salmonidae.